This 253-nucleotide ribosomal RNA is filed under the name uncultured bacterium. RNAcentral's name for it is "partial 16S ribosomal RNA". It matches the Rfam family "Bacterial small subunit ribosomal RNA", at positions 524 to 776 of the family's 1533-position model. The record is from RNAcentral.
UACGUAGGGGGCAAGCGUUGUCCGGAUUCAUUGGGCGUAAAGAGCGUGUAGGCGGCCAGGUAGGUCGGUUGUGAAAACUGGAGGCUCAACCUUCAGAGGUCGACCGAAACCAUCUGGCUAGAGUCCGGGAGAGGAGAGUGGAAUUCCUGGUGUAGCGGUGAAAUGCGCAGAUAUCAGGAAGAACACCCGUGGCGAAGGCAGCUCUCUGGACCGGUACUGACGCUGAGACGCGAAAGCGUGGGGAGCGAACAGG